RNAcentral lists this unclassified non-coding RNA (200 nucleotides) under Herpotrichiellaceae sp. Its description in RNAcentral is "partial internal transcribed spacer 2". The record is from RNAcentral. Lineage: Eukaryota; Fungi; Ascomycota; Eurotiomycetes; Chaetothyriales; Herpotrichiellaceae.
UUAAGUUCAGCGGGUAUCCCUACCUGAUCCGAGGUCAACCUUGUAAAAAAUGGGUUCAGACUAGCCCCCGGGGACCACGACCGGUACGUGCUUGGAAAGCUCGUUGUACCAGGAGUCCACCGGACACCGUCAUUGUCUUUCGGAGCAGCGGGGUCGAAACCCCGCCAGGCCUCCAACACCAAGCCAGGGCUUGAGGGUUG